This is a non-coding RNA of Danio rerio (zebrafish), 1970 nucleotides long. NCBI's taxonomy places the organism in Eukaryota, Metazoa, Chordata, Actinopteri, Cypriniformes, Danionidae. The record is from RefSeq and is a predicted model, not a curated record.
AAACGCUACAUCCACCUUAGGCUAUAUUAUACUACAUUAAUACCAUUACCAAAAGCUAGUGAAUCAAUGUUUUGUUUGAUAAGUAAGAUUAAGUUAGUUAGAUAAAUGACCUUUAGCUUGGUACAGAAAGAGUGGGGGGCGGCUCCUUCCACACCGCUGCAGAAAACCAAACCUGUAUGAUUAGAGCGGGCGGAGCUGAGUCCGUGACACAAACUUGCCUCGCUAUGUCAUAUUUAAUGAAUUAUUUCACUGUAAUAAUAAUAAUAGCUUAUUUAUUUGGUUGUGAAAAAGCUAAACCGUUUUCUCCAUAACAACCUGUGCCCUUUAAGUUCCUUUGUAAUAAAUCAACAACAACAAGAAUUAAUUUUAAAUAAUAGGUGCAACCACAUAAAUAAAUCUUCAGAUAGGCUACUCAGCUACAUUUAAGAAAUUAUUUAAAAAAUAAACUUAUAAGGGACACUUGCAGACAGGUAUCUUGUGAUGGGGAGUAGGAAAAAAGGCGCUCCUAGGCCUUCUCUUGACAUCAGCGGAGACUCGUUCCCUGCUGCAUUUGUGUAUUGUUGACGCAGAAGUAUCUUAUUCUUGUCCACUUUUGUGGCCUUUUUAUUAUUUUUUUGUGAAGUUGAAGACUUCAUCUUCUAUCGCUAAAUCAAUGAGCAAACUCUGAGCACUUCACCGGCGAUGACUCUCUUCCCAGGGCAUGCUGAGCUCGCGCCGCAUCCUGAACGCUCUCUAACUGUUAUAUCGCACUUUGUAAAGAAACUGGUCUGACGGAUAUUGCGUUUUGUGAAAAAAAAUACGUUUUGUACUUGGCCUAAAAUGUGCAUUCUUAAAUGUUAUUAAUGGCAGCAAUUCACACAUAGAUUAAGGUACAUCUGAACAGUGAUUUCCAAUAAUAAAAUCCAAAUGUCAAAAAAUGCCGUUUAUCGCAUUUUGCAACCAAACUCUUCAUAUGUAUGUGUGUUAUGAUUGUAUGACUGCAGAAGAGAACUGCUCUGUUCCCACAACUCAGUUUUUCUGGGACUUGAAAACAGACGCUCAGCAGAUUUUAAAGGGUGGAAUCUUGAUCAAAUCAGAAAGUUACAGUGGAUCUUGAUUUUGGAGAAGGUGAAGUCCAAUCUAAAAGAGUCCCCUCAAGUAUCAUCACCAUGGUACAGUGUCUGUGAAGAUAGUGAAGCAGACCCAGCAUUCACAAAAAAGAGAGGUCCCAUAAAGAGAAGAUCCUGGAGCAAACAGGAAGUACAUGCUGUGGUGAAAGCUGAACCAUUGGCUCUAAAAACCAGAGAUUGGUCAGCUUUGGAUUUUUAUAUUAAAAACUGAAUCUCGACUCUUUAGAUAAAAAAUCUGAAUAACACUUUUAUAUUAAAAUACGACAGAAACAGAAAUAGAACAUACUGACUCAAAGGAAGAUAACUUAGAUGAAGUGCAAGAACUCCUCAUCCUCCAUAGACAGCAAGGGAUUGAAACAAUAUGAAGGAGAGGAAUUAAUAACAGAAUCUUCAUUUUGGGGUGAACUAACCGUUUAAUAUUGUUUGCUAUUGCACUUAACUAAAUGUGUAUACAGACAUGGAAGAGUUAUGUGGAAGCUUGUUAUACCCAAUGAGAACUGCUUUUAGACAUGCAAGAGAGUUUCAUGGAUUUUGUGUUUACUGUUUUUUUGUGUUUAAAGGUUUUGUGGAAAUUAUUUAUAAUAAAUAUAACAUUUAUUAAAUCUAUUCUGGACCAUUUCCUGAUUGGAUCUUGAGGUUCCUUCUGUAUUCAAAUUACAUUUUUUAUAAACUGACCUGCUCUUCAAAUGAAAAUUCUAAAGCAGUUUACUGUCAAAUUACUUGAUUGAGGUUUAAAAUUUAAUAUUAGUAAGGGUGCUGAUCUGAUCCCCACGUUGCCUAAAAACCGGUAAUGUGUGUGUAGAACUGGUCCUUACUUUGACUAAAAAACGGUAAUGUGUGUGUAGACCUGGUCCUUACUUU